Molecule: ribosomal RNA, 794 nt
Filed under: uncultured bacterium
Lineage: Bacteria
Description: bacterial SSU rRNA
Rfam family: Bacterial small subunit ribosomal RNA
Source: RNAcentral
AGAGUUUGAUCAUGGCUCAGAAUGAACGUUGGCGGCGUGCCUAACACAUGCAAGUCGAGCGAGAAAGCUCCCUUCGGGAGUGAGUACAGCGGCGGACGGGUGAGUAACACGUAAGAAAUCGCCCUAUAGUGAGGAAUACCCUUGAGAAAUUGAGGUUAAUACUGCAUAAGUCCCUGCGGGGAGAAAGGCGUCUUUUAUGUCGCUGCUAUAGGAUGAGCUUGCGGACUAUCAGCUUGUUGGUGAGGUAAAGGCUCACCAAGGCUAUGACGGUUAACCGGCCUGAGAGGGUGUACGGUCACAUAGGCACUGAGAUACGGGCCUGACUCCUACGGGAGGCAGCAGUGGGGAAUAUUGCGCAAUGGGCGAAAGCCUGACGCAGCGACGCCGCGUGGAGGAUGAAGGUCUUAGGAUUGUAAACUCCUGUCAGAUGGAAAGAAAAGUUCAUGUUUAAUAGACGUGAAAUAUGACGGUACCAUCAGAGGAAGCACCGGCUAACUUCGUGCCAGCAGCCGCGGUAAUACGAAGGGUGCAAACGUUAUUCGGAAUCACUGGGCGUAAAGGGUGCGUAGACGGUAUGUUAAGUUUGUUGUUAAAGGCUCCAGCCUAACUGGAGUAUUGCGAUGAAAACUGGCAAGCUAGAGGGUGAGAGAGAGAAAGUGGAAUUCCCGGAGUAGCGGUAAAAUGCGUGGAUCUCGGGAGGAACACCAAUGGCGAAGGCAGCUUCUUGGCUCAUUCCUGACGUUGAGGCACGAAAAGCGUGGGGAGCAAACAGGGAUUAGAUACCCCCGUAGUCC